AUGAACGCUAGCUACAGGCUUAACACAUGCAAGUCGAGGGGCAGCAUGGUCUUAGCUUGCUAAGGCCGAUGGCGACCGGCGCACGGGUGAGUAACACGUAUCCAACCUGCCGUCUACUCUUGGACAGCCUUCUGAAAGGAAGAUUAAUACAAGAUGGCAUCAUGAGUCCGCAUGUUCACAUGAUUAAAGGUAUUCCGGUAGACGAUGGGGAUGCGUUCCAUUAGAUAGUAGGCGGGGUAACGGCCCACCUAGUCUUCGAUGGAUAGGGGUUCUGAGAGGAAGGUCCCCCACAUUGGAACUGAGACACGGUCCAAACUCCUACGGGAGGCAGCAGUGAGGAAUAUUGGUCAAUGGGCGAGAGCCUGAACCAGCCAAGUAGCGUGAAGGAUGACUGCCCUAUGGGUUGUAAACUUCUUUUAUAAAGGAAUAAAGUCGGGUAUGGAUACCCGUUUGCAUGUACUUGAUGAAUAAGGAUCGGCUAACUCCGUG
Molecule: ribosomal RNA, 489 nt
Filed under: uncultured bacterium
Lineage: Bacteria
Description: partial 16S ribosomal RNA
Rfam family: Bacterial small subunit ribosomal RNA
Source: RNAcentral